AUGUCAGAUGAUUGAUUGAUACUAAUACUAUAUAUUAAUACGAUGAUUGAAUAUAUGUUGUGUUUAAGUUAGACGACUCCUUUUGCUAUUAGACUGUUAGUUUUGAUAGAUCUAUGUUUCGUCGAAUAAAAUUUUGGUGUGGUCGGUUUAAUGUCGGGUCGGGUUUUCGAAAGGUUGGGAACGUUAAGGAGGAAUAAUGAAAUCUGGUUAAAGGAGGGGGAAUAAAAUGAAUAUAUGCUGGCUGUAAUUAUAAAUAACCCGAUGGAUUCUCAAAUUUAUUUCUUUUUACGAAGAAAGAAAAACCAAAUUAAACCCUAAUUAUAAUGAUUCCGGGAAUAAAUGGUGGGUCCGAACUGUUGUUUGACAUUCAUGGUCCCUGUGGACGCAAGGAGUCGUUGGUUUGUGGGUUGAUUAGAAAAGGGGUUAAUUUAAACGAUUUGAAACCACAUGUACUUUUGUUACUGCUUUGAUUACAGGAGUGUUGUAGAGAUGAAUCUAGUGUGUUAGCUUGGACUUUCUAAACAUCAUAUGAUUCCAGGCAGCAUUGUCGUCGCUUAUAAAAACUUACCUUGGUCGUUGUCUUUUGCAUAGGCUUAGAUAAGUCAGUACCCUCUUUGAUUAUGGUAGAGAGUGAAACAGCUUUUCAGAUGUCCAGAAAAAUCCACCCGUUCCCUAUUCUGCUUCCGAGCAUGGAUUGGUGACAUGGCUAAUGCUACAUUGCUACUAUUACCAAUGCCAUGGAGGUAGAACAUGGGGAUGAGUCAGGUGCUGCUGGAAAAUAGGACGUUCGAGGCUCCAUCUUUAGACUCAUCUCAGUUGGCCGCUUACCAUUCUUCUGUGAAUGGCAAUGAUGGCAGCUACGGAAAACUUACUCCAUAUGCUGGUGUUAGUUAGAAUGGAAUUGGUUCAUAUGAUAAACUUAAUUCUGCAUUGGUAAAACCAACUAAAAGACGGUUCUGCCGUUUCCGUGAGUCUGGAGCAUAGCAAAUACCAACAGUCAGAUUUUAAUGUCUCGACUAUGAUAAUAGAUGAGACCGAAAAAACACCUAUGAACAUCUUGUAGAUCUGAAAUGCUUACGAUACCUUUUUAGCCGAAUUUUCUGUGUUACGGCUAUUGGAAGAAAUAUGCUGAUCCUGAAGCAUGACUUAACAAAGUUGUUGAGGUCUAUGAACAUGCUGCGUAUGGGGUGACCUGUUCUGUACAUAUGUGGUUGCAUUACUGUGUUUUUGCCAUAAACACCUAGGGGAUCCCAACACAUUGAAAAGGUAAUAAAUGCUUAAUUUUUGGUCAACUAUCAUUGUUGUGGUCAUCUGAAGGAGUGACAAUGCAUCUGUCAUUAUUUGUGUCUUUGUGAUAGCAUGUCGUCGUGAUACAACAUUUUCUCUACACCAAUUGCUUAUUGUACUGGGCAGAAAUAAAAUACUUGGAGAGCCAGGGCACUGUUUGGCAGUAUUUUCUUUGGUUGUUUUUUGCAUUUACAUUUGAUUUUUUUUAAGCCGAACAAAAAAUUGAUGUAUUGGGUCUAUUGGCAAACCUUUAAUUGUGUUGACCUUUUGACUUUAAAGAGUUCCAGCUAUUGAAUACUAUCCUCCACUUUAAGUGUUCUUCUUCU
Erigeron canadensis is the source of this 1613-nucleotide long non-coding RNA. RefSeq lists it as uncharacterized. The record is from RefSeq and is a predicted model, not a curated record. The transcript is spliced from 3 exons. Lineage: Eukaryota; Viridiplantae; Streptophyta; Magnoliopsida; Asterales; Asteraceae.